UUCUGGUUGAUCCCGCCGGAGGUCACUGCUAUUGGGAUUCGACUAAGCCAUGCGAGUCGAGAGGGUUCGGCCCUCGGCAGACGGCUCAGUAACACGUGGAUAAUCUGCCCUUAGGUGGAGGAUAACCUCGGGAAACUGAGAAUAAUACUCCAUAGAUCUAGGAUGCUGGAAUGCACUUAGAUUAAAAGUUCCGACGCCUAAGGAUGAGUCUGCGGACUAUCAGGUUGUAGUCAGGGUAAAGACCUGACUAGCCUACGACGGAUACGGGUUGUGAGAGCAAUAACCCGGAGACGAUAUCUGAGACACGAUAUCGGGCCCUACGGGGCGCAGCAGGCGCGAAACCUUCACAAUGUACGAAAGCACGAUGAGGGAAUCCCAAGUGCUUGCUCGUAAGAGUAAGCUGUUUUUAUGUCUAAAAAGCAUAGAGAGUAAGGGCUGGGUAAGACGGGUGCCANGCCGCCGCGGUAA
This 468-nucleotide ribosomal RNA is filed under the name uncultured archaeon. RNAcentral's name for it is "bacterial SSU rRNA". It matches the Rfam family "Archaeal small subunit ribosomal RNA", at positions 1 to 473 of the family's 1478-position model. The record is from RNAcentral.